CCGACUGUUUAGAUGAAGACCAGCGUAAUGAGCUUGUCGGAUUUUCAGAGAGGUGGUGCAUGGCCGUCGUCAGUUCGUACUGUAAAGCGUUCUGUUAAGUCAGAUAACGAACGAGACCCUCAUCUCUAUUUGCUACCCGUCUCUCCGGAGGCGGCGCACUAUAGGGAGACCGCUGGUGUUAAACCAGAGGAAGGCGAGGGCAACGACAGGUCAGUAUGCCCCGAAUGUCCUGGGCUACACGCGCGCUACAAAGGACGGGACAAUGGGAAGCCAGGCCGAGAGGCCGAGCUAACCCGAAACCCGUUCAUAGUUCGGAUCGAGGGCUGUAACUCGCCCUCGUGAAGCUGGAUUCCGUAGUAAUCGUGUUUCAAUAUAGCACGGUGAAUAUGCCCCUGCUCCUUGCACACACCGCCCGUCAAACCAUC
Molecule: ribosomal RNA, 425 nt
Filed under: uncultured archaeon
Lineage: Archaea
Description: bacterial SSU rRNA
Rfam family: Archaeal small subunit ribosomal RNA
Source: RNAcentral